CCCCCCCUAAAUUCCCCUAAAUUUCCCUCUAUUUUGGGGCAUNNNNNNNNNNAAGGGGUUAUAUAACGACAGGAGGGGUUAUAUCGCAACAGGAGGGGGUUAUAUCGCGACAGGAAGGGGUCAUAUCGCGAUAGGAGGGGCGUGUCGCGACAGGAGGGUAUUUUGGGGGAGCCUUUACACGCCCCCAUUGAACCGUUUAGACGAAAAACCGACCCAAAACCAGAGGCGUCCCCAAAACCAAGUCAGCCAGUGACCCCCCCCCCCCCAAAAUCCCCUAAAUUUCCCUCUAUUUUGGGGCAUUUCGCUUGAAAAAAAACUUAAAAUGAGCUCCGAGGGGCUCCGCGGCCAGGCAAACUGCGGGAAAAAGCCCCAAAAAUAUCCCAAAGCGGCCCCGACCCCCCCAAAAAAAAGGUGCCGCUGUUUUUGGGGUCAGCGCGGCCCCCCCUAAACCCUGCCCCCCUUGUUUACCCCCAGAUUUGAUGAGAUUUUAUGAGAUUUGAUAAUAAUUUGGUGACAUUUGAUGAUAUUUGAUGAUAUUUGGUGAUAUUUGAUAAUAAUUUGAUGAAAUCUGAUAAAAUUUGAGCUAAUUUUUUGAGCCCCUCACCCCCAGAGCCGCGUGCAAUAAAGGCGCCCGCUGCCACACCCGGUGCUGUACUUUAACAGAUUCUGCGAGUUCUUACCCCAAAACGACGGGCUUACUGGGCUCAACCCCAGAGGCUCCGACCCAGCUGCAAAACACGGAAAAUUGGAAAAACGAAGAAUUGACCCCAAAAUGACACCCACGGCUCCUGAACCAGCAGGGCCAGAGAAGGACCCGGUCCCAGGGGUUACUGGGAGCACUGGGCCCCACCUACCAGGGUUACUGGGAGCAUUGGGCUGUACUGGAAGCACUGGGCCACACAUACUGGGGUUACUGGGAGCACUGGGCUACACACACCAGGCUUACUGGGAGCACUGGGGCCCACAUACUGGGGUCACUGGGAGCACUGGGCCGUACUGGGAGCACUGGGCUACACACACCAGGCUUACUGGGAGCACUGGGCCCCACAUACUGGGGUUACUGGGAGCACUGGGC
RNAcentral lists this long non-coding RNA (1075 nucleotides) under Anas zonorhyncha (Eastern spot-billed duck). Its description in RNAcentral is "lncRNA (ENSAZOG00000012569.1)". The record is from RNAcentral. Lineage: Eukaryota; Metazoa; Chordata; Aves; Anseriformes; Anatidae.